UUGGUUUAUGCAUAUAAACUGCUUAUAUGGUUUAAAUUUGAUAGAGAAUAGUAUUGCGAAAGAAAGAAAAAAUAUGAAUAUCCUUCUACAUUUAUGUAUGAGAUUUGAAUUUUAAUACAAUAAACAAAUAAAUUGAAUUUUUAUUGUACCUUUGGUAUAAUGGAUUAGCGAGUUAAUUUUGAAAGCAAGCGUAAGCGUAAAAAAAUUAUUAUAGUUUUUAAAAUUAUACCCGAAACUAAGUGAUCUAAUAAUGAACAAGUAUUAGACUGAACUCAUAAAUGUUGCAAAAUUUUAGUAGAUGAUUUGUUAUUAGGGGUGAAAGGCUUAUCAAACUUAGUGAUAGCUGGUUCUUCACGAAAUCUAUUUUAGUAGAGUUGUUGUUUGCAGUUAAAUCAGGUAGUGUUAAAUAAAAAAAUUAGCGAGGUUUAAUUA
This 432-nucleotide ribosomal RNA is filed under the name uncultured bacterium. RNAcentral describes it as "partial 23S ribosomal RNA". The stretch from base 122 to 432 matches the Rfam family "Bacterial large subunit ribosomal RNA", at positions 568 to 934 of the family's 2925-position model. The record is from RNAcentral.